Molecule: long non-coding RNA, 2045 nt
Filed under: Centruroides sculpturatus (bark scorpion)
Lineage: Eukaryota; Metazoa; Arthropoda; Arachnida; Scorpiones; Buthidae
Description: uncharacterized LOC111627419
Source: RNAcentral
AAAAAUAAUAAUCAAAAUUUGGGAUAAAAAUAUCGGAUCUUAAGUUACAUUUUCUUAUCUUAACAAGAAGCUGAUUAUCAUUCUCUGAAUUUUUUUUUUACAUCCUUCGACAUUACAUGGAAUCAAAUAAAGAAGUAAUGAGGGUAAUGGAUGAAGAGUUGAAAAAAACUGCAGGUAGCCACCGAAAAAAAAAAAAAAAAAUGGGACCUCUUUACAAGCGAGGCCUGAAGCGGACACUUCACCCACUUCAUGGUAAAUCCAGCCCCGGUUUUCAUUAUUUAUAUUUAAUUUGAAAUAUUUUUUUGCAAAAUAUGACAAGGCGCAACAUUUAUAACAUCCUCUCCGUUCGUAACAACAUUAAUAACACUGUUAGAGAAAUUCUAUUUGGGAAAUGUAGUAAAUGAAGAAAAUGAGAGUUUCGGUCUAUUAUUAACUUCUUAGCAAUGUCGUCAACCGAAAUGCGAGUCCAGGUGGACGAUGAUGAGUCGGUAUAGAGCCAAACUAGAAAAGACAAACUAUUCUGGUGCCCGUGACUUAGAGCAGCUGUGCACGUUCUUCAACUCGAAUUGAAGUUUAAAAGAAAAGGAAACUAUCAGAAACAUUUGUUUUUUUUCUUCUUCUUUCUUUUUACUUCUUUCCACUCGUUCCCUGUUGACGGUUGUGUCUUUUAAUUAAGCAUCAAUGACAAAUUUCACGCAAGUGUCGACGAUAAAGAUCGCUUAUAUGGGAGUGUCUGGCCUUUUGCCCUAUAACGUAUAACCAUGUUUUUAAAAACGUUCCUUUAGUACCAAACCCUAAAAUGGUUAGCGAGUUAGUAACUUAAAAGAAUUGAGUUACACAUAUGAAAAAAAACGAGAUAUCGAUUAAUUUAAACGUUACCGCAUCGUAUUAAAAACAUAAAAAAUUGAAUAGAAAUGUAAAAUUUUAAACAGUUUUUCACUUAAAAAAUUUAUCUCUGACGUCUUGAUAGACAAAACGCUUUUAUGUCAGCUACCGAAUCUGAGAACUCGACGUCACGAACAUUAUAAAUUAAACCGGUCACGUUUCGCACCUAGAUGAUAAAGAUAUGAAAGUUAGUUUCUUUUUAGAAGAAAGAUAGAAACAAAUCCAGUUUGUUACGCUUUCAUGUGUAAUGGAUCACGAGAAUUACCGAUAUCAUUUUCCACCUGUCUAGAAACGGUUCAGAUUUUAACAGGUGACGGUUUUGUUUUUUUUUUCUUUCUCUCGUCGUGUAGACGUUAACCCCAUAAUUUCUGUAAAUUUGUUAAAGUAAAAUAAAGAAGACGUUCAUUUAAAAUUCUUUUUUUCUUUCUUCUUCUUCUUCUUCUUCUUCCUCUUCUUCUCGAAACUUGUAAGCUGAUAAGAGAAUUGCGAAGACAAAAUCCAUUAAUGGAUAAAGAUAAAAAUUACGAAAAAUUCGAAAGUUAGAUUUAGUUACGCGUGACAAGCGAUAAUUAUUCUCUUGCACAUAUUUUGUAGAAAAUGUUUUUAACAAAAAAAAAAUUGUAUACAUUAUAAAAUUAUUAAGAUUAUAUAAAGAAAAACAAGAAUUUGAAAUCGUUAAGACAUCAGCCUCAUGCUUCGAGUUCUUCGUUAUUAGAGAAGAUAGUUUUGGUUAGUAAAUUUAAUUUUUAUUUUUAUAUUUUUUCAAUACUAUGCCAUAAAUAAUAUCUGGGUUGAGCAAAAAUAAGAUUGAAAUAAGAUAAGAAACUAAUAAAAGUCUGUAACUGAAUAUAAAUUAAGAACCCGAAUAAUGUUAGAAGUACUGUAUAUUUGGGUAAGAUAUCAAGUAUAAUUUCAGUGAUCCAUUUAAAUUAAGUGAAUUAAAUUAAAAUCUAUAUGUUCUGAUUAUCAUACAUGCUUACAGUUUGCUUACGAAUGAAAGUAUAUAAUGACAGUUCAGGCUUAUAUGAAAGAGGGAUAACAGAGCCAUUUUGCUUCAGUUCCAGAGCAAUAAGCAAAUAUAUAUUUGUUAAAUAGAAAUAUAGAAAUAUUUUCUAAAGUAUUACAGUUAAGAACUUGGAAUUAAAAAAAAAUUCUCUUUG